GACGGGGGGUGCAAGCGUUAUCCGGAAUCACUGGGCGUAAAGCGUCUGUAGGUGGUGAUGCAAGACACUGGUGCAAUACUCUGGCUCAACCGGAGGAAAGCCAGUGAAACUGCAUGACUAGAGUGUGGGAGAGGUAGAAGGAAUUCCCUGAGUAGCGGUGAAAUGCGUAGAUACAGGGAAGAACACCGGAGGCGAAAGCGUUCUACUGGAACACAACUGACACUGAGAGACGAAAGCUAGGGGAGCGAAUGGG
RNAcentral lists this ribosomal RNA (253 nucleotides) under uncultured bacterium. Its description in RNAcentral is "partial 16S ribosomal RNA". It matches the Rfam family "Bacterial small subunit ribosomal RNA", at positions 524 to 776 of the family's 1533-position model. The record is from RNAcentral.